Molecule: transfer RNA, 65 nt
Filed under: Lovenula raynerae
Lineage: Eukaryota; Metazoa; Arthropoda; Copepoda; Calanoida; Diaptomidae
Description: tRNA-Trp
Source: RNAcentral
AGAAAAUUAAGUUAAAGAAACUAUAAAACUUCAAAUUUUAAAUUAAUUGAAAUAAUUAUUUUCUA